UGAUGGAGGGGGAUAACUACUGGAAACGGUAGCUAAUACCGCAUAACGUCGCAAGACCAAUACUGCAGAGGGGGACCUUCGGGCCUCUUGCCAUCAGAUGUGCCCAGAUGGGAUUAGCUUGUUGGUGGGGUAACGGCUCACCAAGGCGACGAUCCCUAGCUGGUCUGAGAGGAUGACCAGCCACACUGGAACUGAGACACGGUCCAGACUCCUACGGGAGGCAGCAGUGGGGAAUAUUGCACAAUGGGCGCAAGCCUGAUGCAGCCAUGCCGCGUGUAUGAAGAAGGCCUUCGGGUUGUAAAGUACUUUCAGCGGGGAGGAAGGUGUUGUGGUUAAUAACCACAGCAAUUGACGUUACCCGCAGAAGAAGCACCGGCUAACUCCGUGCCAGCAGCCGCGGUAAUACGGAGGGUGCAAGCGUUAAUCGGAAUUACUGGGCGUAAAGCGCACGCAGGCGGUCUGUUAAGUCAGAUGUGAAAUCCCCGGGCUCAACCUGGGAACUGCAUCUGAUACUGGCAGGCUUGAGUCUCGUAGAGGGGGGUAGAAUUCCAGGUGUAGCGGUGAAAUGCGUAGAGAUCUGGAGGAAUACCGGUGGCGAAGGCGGCCCCCUGGACGAAGACUGACGCUCAGGUGCGAAAGCCUAGCA
RNAcentral lists this ribosomal RNA (646 nucleotides) under Citrobacter sp. AL2. RNAcentral describes it as "bacterial SSU rRNA". It matches the Rfam family "Bacterial small subunit ribosomal RNA", at positions 131 to 766 of the family's 1533-position model. The record is from RNAcentral. Lineage: Bacteria; Pseudomonadati; Pseudomonadota; Gammaproteobacteria; Enterobacterales; Enterobacteriaceae.